GGCGCACGGCGCACGGGUGCGUAACACGUGGGUAACCUGCCCUUUGGUGGGGAAUAACCUCGCGAAAGCGAGGCUAAUUCCGCAUAAGAUCCGCAAGGAUGAAAGCCGCAAGGCGCCGAAGGAGGGGCCCGCGCACGAUUAGUUAGUUGGUAGGGUAACGGCCUACCAAGACUAUGAUCGUUAGCUGGUCUGAGAGGAUGGCCAGCCACACUGGAACUGAGACACGGUCCAGACUCCUACGGGAGGCAGCAGUGGGGAAUCUUGCGCAAUGGGCGAAAGCCUGACGCAGCGACGCCGCGUGGGGGAUGAAGCUUCUCGGAGUGUAAACCCCUUUCGACUGGGACGAAUACCUCGCAAGAGGGGUGACGGUACCAGUAGAAGAAGCCCC
RNAcentral lists this ribosomal RNA (388 nucleotides) under uncultured bacterium. RNAcentral describes it as "bacterial SSU rRNA". It matches the Rfam family "Bacterial small subunit ribosomal RNA", at positions 90 to 494 of the family's 1533-position model. The record is from RNAcentral.